UACGUAGGCGGAAAAUUAAGUCAGUAGUGAAAUCCUGCAGCUUAACUGUAGAACUGUUAUUGAUACUGGUUUUCUUGAAUAUAGUUGAGGUAAGCGGAACGUGUAAUGUAGCGGUGAAAUGCUUAGAUAUUACACAGAACACCGAUUGCGAAGGCAGCUUACUAAGCUAUGAUUGACGCUGAGGUACGAAAGCGUGGGGAGCGAACAGGAUUGAUACCCUGGUAGUCC
This 228-nucleotide ribosomal RNA is filed under the name uncultured bacterium. RNAcentral's name for it is "partial 16S ribosomal RNA". It matches the Rfam family "Bacterial small subunit ribosomal RNA", at positions 568 to 796 of the family's 1533-position model. The record is from RNAcentral.